Benincasa hispida (wax gourd) is the source of this 1396-nucleotide non-coding RNA. NCBI's taxonomy places the organism in Eukaryota, Viridiplantae, Streptophyta, Magnoliopsida, Cucurbitales, Cucurbitaceae. The record is from RefSeq and is a predicted model, not a curated record.
UACCCGUCUUAUUCUCUUUUAAAAACUUCUCAAAAUUUUGCUCUCUGCCUGUCUCUUCUUCUCUUUCGAAAACUUCUAGAAGAAUCGCUCUCCCUUUCUGGCUCUUUGUCUCUCAUAUCAUCUUUUUCAUUCUCAUUCUUCCAAAAAUUAUUACUAAAUCAUCUUCUUCUCCACACUCGUCCAUCAAAUUGUGAGAUCAUGGAGUUAAAUUCAGGAUCGAUUGAUCCUAUGUUCUAUACGAUCAAUCAAUUCAUCAAUCAUCAGUUGUAUGGGAAGAUCGUAUCAUUGGUGAGAUAUCCUGUAGAUAUCGAGAGGCAGUUGUUCAUUGCACUAUCUCACCCCACCCUAUAAUACUACCAUUACUUUGUAUGUCUGGAUUUUAUAGAGUUUCCAUAUUGGGAUUCAUUCAGCUAGAUUAACCUCUCAUCACAAUAAUGAUCAAGAGAUGGAGGCCUAAGACGCAUACAUUUCAUGUGCCCACUAGAGAGUGUACUAUCACUUUACAUGACAUAAAAGUGUUGUACGGGUUACUUGUCGACGGCGAACUAGUUACUGGAGUAAUGCAUGAUGACUGGUUGAAUAUUUGUCAACUGUUACUCGGUGUGACCUUACCCACCGAUAAAAUUAAAAGAUCAAGUUUGACAUGGUUAAGUACAUAAUUUUGUGAGCUUGCUAAUGAUGCUGACAAAGAAGCCGUCAUGAGAUAUACGCGAGCAUAUAUACUACAGAUGAUGGAUGGAAGUCUGUUUUCUGACAAAUCAAGUCAUUUCAUUCACUCGAUGUUCUUACCAUUGUUAGCUAACCUCUAUGAUGCGGAACGGUCUUCUUGGGGUGGAGCAUGUUUGGCAUGGUUGUAUAGACAACUAUGCAAAGAAACAAAACCUGAAGAUCGUGAAAUCGUUGGGCCUCUGAUACUUUUGCAAUUAUGGGCUUGGGAACUAUUUCCAACAAUGGCUCCACAGCUACAACAUGUUGAUGACGCUCAAUUAGUUGGAUGAGUCUACGCUUCUCGGUAUGUUAUUUUAAUUGAGUUUAAUUUAACAAAUAUAUUUUAUAUGACUGAUCUAGUUGAUUUGAAAUCUUAAAUAUUAAUUUAAUAAGAUAGGUGGAGAGACACAUUUUGUGUGACUAGGACAACUACACAUGUAGUUGAUCAGUACAGAUACAUGUUUAAUCUGCUUCAACCUUAUCAGAUUAUUUGAGAGCCUUACAAAGCUGUCAUUGACACUUUGUCCAAUUUCUGUACGAACGAUAAAAGACGAUAAGUCCUUUCAUAUAUUUUCUCAUUGGUGAAUAGCAUCUUCCUGACAGGGUAAUGAAAAUGUGGUUUCUAGUAAGAUGUCCCAUCGUCUUGUAAUAUUGAACCCCUACUACAUGAAAUCAACCUAAGAACUGG